Molecule: long non-coding RNA, 504 nt
Organism: Callithrix jacchus (white-tufted-ear marmoset)
Lineage: Eukaryota; Metazoa; Chordata; Mammalia; Primates; Cebidae
Source: RefSeq, a predicted model, not a curated record
GCUUUUGGGGAGCGAGGCCAAUUAGAGUGUGAACAGAGGAACCCAGCGGCCAAUGGGCAGCUCCUUUGGGGGCGGGAGCAGAGAGACAAGGAAAUGCUGUCACCGCCGUUAAACACGCACGUGGAGGGAAGACCUGGGUUUAAGUCCUGUCUCCAUCAAGCUCAAGAUAUGGGACCUCAUGGAAGGGAGGGGAGGCAAUGCUGAGGAUGUGCACCUGAGCAGGUGCCCCAAUUCUUCACCUGUAAGCAUCCCGGUUUGGCAGAGAGCAGUGGCUCAGCCUGGCAUGUGGCAUACACCUGUAUUCCUGGCUACUUGGAGGCUGAGGUGGGAGGAUCGCUUGAGCCCAAGGAAAUUGAGACUGUAGUGACUGCAUCACUACACUCCAUCCCGGACAACAGAGUAAGACCCUGUCUCAAAAAAAAAAAACCACCCUAAAACAAACAAACAUUCCAGAUGAAUCUAGCCUAAAUAUUCCUGCUAUAAAGCUGGGCUGCUCUUCCUGUU